GUGACAGCGGACGGAUCGGUAAUUUAAUAAAGUGUGAAAUAACGACUCAUAAUUGACGCAGCCGGUAGUCGUCUGGUUUUCGGAUCGUAAAAGCUAGAACGAUUUGUAGUACCGCCGUUCCUAUCACCAGGCGUCAACGACCUCACACACUUACACGAUCUACGCAGUAAGUCAAGUAAGUUAAGUAAGUUUUUUCGUGUAAGCGUCUCGCGUGUUGGCUACGUUUGGCGUACGUUUAGUGAAGCGAGAGCCGAACAGUUUAACCGUUCGCUCCUAAUGUGGAGAAAUACCCAGUCAGAAGCGACUAUUACAGACAAUUCUUCAGAAGAAUCAUCACUCAGUCCUUUGCCUUGCGACCGAAGCGUUUUCGAUCUUCACACUGAUAAGCUCACCGUAGAUAGCACAAUGGCAGAGGUAAAAGAACUUACGGAACAGAUUAAAAGUCUAACUGGUGUGAUUUGCCAGAUUGGUGAAAAGUUAGAAAGAGGUGCGGCUCAACAAAAUCACACCUGUGUUAAACAGAGAUGACAAUAAAGGCCAAGCAACAGAAACAGCAGAUUUUGGAAGCAUGUUCAAGAAACCCGAUCCCAUUAAAAUGUUACCGUCGUUUAAUGGGAAUAAAAAGCAAUUGGCUUGUUGGCUAAAUACAGCUGAAGAAACGCUACAAAUUUUUGAAAACGUUGUGUCACCGCCUUGUAGGAACGUAGUAUGUAUGAGGGUUAGUUGGUAAGCAACCACGGGACGAGGCGGUUGAAUAAAUGGAAGAACUCUACAAUUUAACGCAGCCGGUACGAUAUGUUUUGUUAGUCAGUUUUGGUAGUUGAAAUAUAUGUGAGAAGGAGAACAAACAGAGAAAAAGUGGUAAGAGUUUGGUAUGAAAUUAAUUAUUAUCGUUGUUGUAAAGUGUUAACUUGAGAGGAAGACAGGCGUUGGUACAAGGAUGGAACGUUUUAUUGGUAUGUGUGAAAUGAUUUGGGACCGGCUAAACACCGAAACGAACAAUACCUGUAUGAAGGAUACGAAACGAAAAGAUGUGGGACCGGUUUAGAGCCGAAGCAUACAAGGCACUACUACUACUACUGCUGAAAAAAGAGAGUGAGAUUUUACUGAUCAGAGUCAAAAGAUGCGGGACCAGCUAAAUACUGUAGCGCACAAUACAGGUAUGAGGAAGGGAAAAAUAUGUGAUGGAUUGAUGACCAAAGCACAAAGUUAUCACCAAUGCAAAUAUGGAGUAUGGUAUUGUUCUUUGGAAGUGGGAGACAAAAUUCCAGAAGGAACUGUCCAGUCGUGCAGUAAGGUCGUAAAAGUGUAGUCACUCGAGUAAAUUAAAAAAAAAA
Long non-coding RNA from Anopheles stephensi (Asian malaria mosquito), 1337 nucleotides. RefSeq lists it as uncharacterized. The record is from RefSeq and is a predicted model, not a curated record. The transcript has 2 exons. Lineage: Eukaryota; Metazoa; Arthropoda; Insecta; Diptera; Culicidae.